RNAcentral lists this ribosomal RNA (119 nucleotides) under Parmotrema submerrillii. RNAcentral describes it as "partial 28S ribosomal RNA". The record is from RNAcentral. Lineage: Eukaryota; Fungi; Ascomycota; Lecanoromycetes; Lecanorales; Parmeliaceae.
UAACAUAUAUCUACAAGCGUUGCACGGCUGUCUUCAGUUAAUGUCGCGAGAUUGGUUAGUUCCAUUAAAUUAACGUAAACCCUUGCUUUAUUUUUUAUAUAGAGUAGUUCCCCGCUAUA